GCUUCCUACGAAAACAAAAACAAGCAUCCAUGGCCAAGAGUAAAACACCAUGGGGAAUUUAUAAUAGUAACAAUGUAGCUGAACCUCCAGCACUAUCACGACCUCCUAGUAACAAAGCUUUUUCAUGCAGUGGGCCUUCAUCAGUGUUGUUGAUUGAAUGACUGACUGCUAUCCAGAUAGUUCUGCUGCUGUGGUUCAGACCAGUUGUUUAGAAGAAAGAAUGCUUCAGACUCACAGGAUGACAUGUUAAGAGAUACUAAAACCAGGCCUUACCUUCCCGAGUUGCUGCUCUGUGAGAGAAAAUGCGUCCAUGAAGGCCUGGGCAAUCACAGAUAAACAGCCGUCUAUGUGUGGUGUCUUCUUAAUGUCAAAGACAAACUGAGGGUUCUUCAGGAUGUUUACCCAGAAGCGAAGAGGAAGGCUGUUCCGAGAGAGAAAUCUCUUUUCAAGUAUAGCCCUUCGUAGGAGGCGGAUGCUCUGUUUAUCACAGUUUGCAUAUGGACGUUUUUGCCCUUGUUAUUGAAGUAUCCAAGUCUGCUUUGCCAAAUAUACCAAGCAACAGAUGGCAGCACCACUCAGAACAAGAAAGGGUUAAACUGACAAGCGCCACUGAAGGGAGGACUAGAACGGGAGAAAUUCAAAGGUGGCCAUUGACGAGAAUUUUCUCCCGGUAGUUCUAGAUUAUAGCAGGUGACGGUUGCCCAUGAAAACGUUUCAUCACGUGUCUGGAACCUGACCUCUUCUCACCCCCUCUAAGUGCCACACCCUGGCCUAAGCCGCCUGCAUUAUUAGCCCCCAGCUCUCAGUUGUCCCACUGCCACUGUCCCACUGUCCCAGUUGUCCCCCAGCUCUCAGUUGUCAGCCUCAGUUGUCCCACAACUAUCAGCAAUCUUAACACAGAGUCAGAUCAGGUCUCUCCUCUGCUCAGAACCCUCUAUGCUCUCCAUCCCCCUCGGGAUAAAGCCCCUGCGUGAUCUGGGCCUGGGUCCUCAUCUGUUACUCUUCACCUUUUUCAUUCCAACCCACCGUGGGCCUCUUGGCUGGUCUUCAUGCAUCCCAGGCAAGGCUGCACCUCAGGACUUCUGCCCAUCUUCCGGAAACUGCCUUCAGCCAGACAGUCUCAAGGUGUAUGCCCUCACCUCUUUCAAGACCUGACUCAAAUGUCAUCAUCUCCUUGAGGCCUUCUCUGACCACUGACCUGUUACUCUCUAUCCUUCUUUUCUGCUUUGUCCACUGUACUAACCUUCUAAUAUACUACUAAUUUACCUAUUUAUCAUCUCUUCCACCCAUUAGAAUGCAAGCUCUCUGAGAACAGGGAUUUUUGUUCAGUUUACUGUUACAUCUCCAGCACCUAACAGUGCUUGGCAUAUAGUAGGUACUCAGAUACUUGAAUAUGAACUUGGGAAUCAUUCAGAGUCCUUCCAUUAUCUCAACUCUGGCCUAGCAAAUUACCUCCAUCGUAAGGAUGCUGGGCCUCUCCUCAGCUCUGCUGUCCUGGCUACUGCCCCUGCUCAGAUGCCACCCUCUUCACAGUGAAAAGGGGAGCCUACAGCAGCAGCACCUGGGAUUAAGAGGCUAGAGCACAGGAUGGGAGGGAGCCAGGGUAGAUGCUGGGACAGACCCGGAUUCAAUGGGAGAAGAUGAGACCUAGAGCUCUGGCACUUCAGCUUGUAAUACUUCCUUAAAAUGGUCUGUGGGCCCUCAGUGUUCGGGAGGGCUUGCGAUUGUGCCGGAAAGUUCUAUCAUGUCUUAACACCGAGUCUUACUCAGUUCAUACACAGAACAUUUCAAAUAGAGGUAAUGAGCUGUUUCUUUACUGAGGAGAAAUUUAGAACAAACCUGGAUGCCUUACCAGGCAACCAGGUAAAACGUUAGAAAACAAAACAGACCUUUGGCUAAUUCUCAUGAUAUCUGAGUACUGCACUUGCUCAAAUAAAAGCAGAAAUGUCUAUGUAGAAUCAGAAUUCAGACAGUUUGGUAACUGCAAAGGGAUUAAGUAUUCUCUAAUGGAAAAUUAUAUAAUAAAACCACAAAAUACUAAUUUCUCAUCUUUUGCCGGUCAGGUUAACAUUCCUUACAAGGUCUUUUUCAUGCGUUAAAGAUAAUAAGGUUUGUUUAUGUUAUCCUAAAGAAUAGGCUCACAGCAUAGGAAGGGUUUUGUUCUUGUUAAAAAUAGUAAGAGAGGAAGAAUCUGCUUUGACAUGAUAGCUUACCAAGCCAAAAGAUUCUGAUCUAGGGAUAAUGAAUCCUUCUGUAACUAUCCAUGCCCUCCUUUUGGUUAAGAUUCUGUCCCAGAUUCUUGAAAACAGUCAGUAAUCACAUACUGUUUGUUCCCACCUGUUUGUUUUCCAAAUAUGUACGACAUCAGGAUCUGUGAUUUUUUUGUUUUCAGCCUGGGCAUCCAAAAAGUCAAAAAAGUAUUUUAUAGCAAAUGGGGCUCUGCUGUUGGGUAAACUCCAAAUGCUUCUAAAAAGUUUUUCAAGCACAGAAUGAAUUGCCACCUGAAAGAGAGCAUCAGACGUGGGAGAUUUAAAAAAUAGGGUAGCAGUUUUGCAUACAAUAGAAAAUGAAAUGCCAGUUCAGAGAAAAUGAUGUACAAAACAGAAAAAAAACCUGAAGAGAAAAUAUGUAAAAUUAUCAAAUGAGGCCAACACUCCAUGUGGGUCAAGCAUCCUGAAAAUCCAUGCCCAGGUUUAGGUUUAGUCAACAAUGAGGGUAUCGUAGAAGUCUCCAGCAGUUGAAAUGUCAGUUGUAGGGCUACGUGCAUAGAUCAAGAAGCCAUGGAUGUUUAGCUUUUAUUAGUUAUGUUCAGCCUAGAAAAACUCAAUGUUGCUCAGUUCCCAGAAUUGUUCCUGUUGCAUGUAUUUCCAUCAGAGGUUUUUAUUCUCUACUUUCCAAAGCAUCUGAGUGUUUUACAAAAGACAAAUAGGCAGAUCUCUGUGGGACAGAUGAGAAAAUCAAGAGGCUCUGGCUGUCCUUUAGCCACUAAACAAAUUUACUGAGCUCUCAGCAUACCCUCUGCUAUAAUCUGAAGAAGCAUGCCCAUCAGGAGACCAGGGCCAGGUGUAGAUAAUAGCAUUUAUAUUGCUAGUCAUUUCAGGGGGAAAAAAAAGGAUCACCACAGACUUCUGUUAAUCUCACUAAAAGCCAGAUAAAGUAAAAUUUGCUUCUGAUUUGGUAUUCCAACAGCUUUCACAUCUGACACUUUUACAUGUGAACAGAAUUCUUAACUUUAAAGUGGAAGAAUAAAAAAAGAUUUAGUAGGUUUGCCGUCACUGACCCCACCCUUCAUUUUAUUUGCAAUUCAAAGGGAGUUUUAUUGCUCCUCUAUAAGAACAAAUACGAAUAAUUACACCAUGAACCUAAAAAACAACAAUAGUGAAAUGGUGGGUAAAGGACUGGGAACAAUAUUAAAUCCCUGAUUGAAGAUACUACAGCCAAAAUUUGUAAAGUGCCGUUAUCUUUGCAGUUUCUAAAAAGAAGAGGAGGGUAGGAAG
Molecule: long non-coding RNA, 3497 nt
Organism: Lynx canadensis (Canada lynx)
Lineage: Eukaryota; Metazoa; Chordata; Mammalia; Carnivora; Felidae
Exons: 2
Source: RefSeq, a predicted model, not a curated record